RNAcentral lists this ribosomal RNA (429 nucleotides) under bacterium. RNAcentral describes it as "partial 16S ribosomal RNA". It matches the Rfam family "Bacterial small subunit ribosomal RNA", at positions 355 to 776 of the family's 1533-position model. The record is from RNAcentral.
UGGGGAAUUUUGGACAAUGGGCGAAAGCCUGAUCCAGCAAUGCCGCGUGUGUGAAGAAGGCCUUCGGGUUGUAAAGCACUUUUGUCCGGAAAGAAAUGGCUCUGGUUAAUACCUGGGGUCGAUGACGGUACCGGAAGAAUAAGGACCGGCUAACUACGUGCCAGCAGCCGCGGUAAUACGUAGGGUCCAAGCGUUAAUCGGAAUUACUGGGCGUAAAGCGUGCGCAGGCGGUUGGGCAAGACCGAUGUGAAAUCCCCGAGCUUAACUUGGGAAUUGCAUUGGUGACUGCACGGCUAGAGUGUGUCAGAGGGGGGUAGAAUUCCACGUGUAGCAGUGAAAUGCGUAGAGAUGUGGAGGAAUACCGAUGGAGAAGGCAGCCCCCUGGGAUAACACUGACGCUCAUGCACGAAAGCGUGGGGAGCAAACAGG